ACUUUUAAAAGAUAUUAGUCAAUCUUUUGGUUUUAGGAUCCAAACACCCUGGUGCAACUCCAAGUAAAAGUU
RNAcentral lists this transfer RNA (72 nucleotides) under Crotaphatrema lamottei. RNAcentral's name for it is "tRNA-Leu". It matches the Rfam family "tRNA". Rfam says of the family: Transfer RNA (tRNA) molecules are approximately 80 nucleotides in length. Their secondary structure includes four short double-helical elements and three loops (D, anti-codon, and T loops). The record is from RNAcentral. Lineage: Eukaryota; Metazoa; Chordata; Amphibia; Gymnophiona; Scolecomorphidae.